GUGCCAAGUAGCACCUUUUGACUUUUCAACCAAAAUGGAUAUUUAUCUUCCUAUGUCGUCUCUUUCUUCAUAAUUCCAGAGAGCUCGACCAAAUAAGACCCCUAACCUCACCCUUAAGCUGUCCACAAGGUUAUCCAACAAGAUUACCGUCCGAGGCACAAAAUCACGAAGCAAUAACACUAGAACGAUCCCCAUGACAUUGGGUUGAGUUAUUCGAAGAAUUACUUGGAAGGUAUUAAGGACUCAAUGGAGUUAAGGUCCCGAUUGAUAGGUUCACAGUCCUCUUAUUAGUCUAUCAG
Molecule: long non-coding RNA, 299 nt
Organism: Nicotiana attenuata
Lineage: Eukaryota; Viridiplantae; Streptophyta; Magnoliopsida; Solanales; Solanaceae
Exons: 3
Source: RefSeq, a predicted model, not a curated record